GUGUUUUAUAAACAGCCGCGGUAACUUGACCGUGCGAAGGUAGCAUAAUCAUUAGUUUUUUAAUUGGAAACUGGUAUGAAGGGUUUGACAGAGAGGGGCUGUCUUAAGGAUAUUGAUGAAUUUCUUUACACAGUGAGGAAACUGUGAUGUAUUUUGGGGACGAGAAGACCCUAUAAAGCUUUAUUUGUUCUAAGUUUUUUCUUGGUUUCUUGUUUAGUUGGGGCGACGAGCGGUUGAUUAGAAAACUGCUGUUGUUGUGGGAUAAUUUGUAAGACUUAUUGAGGUCCAUUAUUAGUGAUGAUGAGAUAAGCUACUUUAGGGAUAACAGCGUUAUUGUGGUGGAGAGUGCGUAUUGAUACUGCAGUUUGCGACCUCGAUGUUGAAUUAGGAUGUCUUAGUGCCGCAGGAGGUACUUAAGAGGGUCUGUUCGACCUUUAAUUUCUUACA
This 447-nucleotide ribosomal RNA is filed under the name Eurytion tenebrosus. Its description in RNAcentral is "partial large subunit ribosomal RNA". It matches the Rfam family "Archaeal large subunit ribosomal RNA", at positions 1993 to 2669 of the family's 2987-position model. Lineage: Eukaryota; Metazoa; Arthropoda; Chilopoda; Geophilomorpha; Chilenophilidae. The record is from RNAcentral.